RNAcentral lists this ribosomal RNA (461 nucleotides) under uncultured bacterium. Its description in RNAcentral is "partial 16S ribosomal RNA". It matches the Rfam family "Bacterial small subunit ribosomal RNA", at positions 29 to 507 of the family's 1533-position model. The record is from RNAcentral.
AUGCACGCUGACAGAAUGCUUAACCCAUGCAAGUCUUUGGCGAAGCUGUGCUUGCACAGCCUAGCCAAGGCGGACGGGUGAGUAACGCGUAAGGAACUUGCCCUGCAGUCAGGGAUAACAGACGGAAACGACUGAUAAGACCUGGUAAAGUCAGGCGGACUCAUGUCCAGCCUGAUGAAAAGAGAUGCUGCAGGAGAGCCUUGCGUCCUAUUAGCUUGUUGGUGGGGUAACGGCCCACCAAGGCGAUGAUAGGUAGCCGGCCUGAGAGGGUGGACGGCCACAAGGGGACUGAGAUACGGCCCUUACUCCUACGGGAGGCAGCAGUGGGGAAUAUUGGACAAUGGGGGCAACCCUGAUCCAGCAAUUCUGUGUGCACGAUGAAGGUUUUCGGAUUGUAAAGUGCUUUCAGCAGGGAAGAAAAAAUGACGGUACCUGCAGAAGAAGCGACGGCUAAAUACGUG